Erinaceus europaeus (western European hedgehog) is the source of this 2007-nucleotide long non-coding RNA. RefSeq lists it as uncharacterized. The transcript has 2 exons. The record is from RefSeq and is a predicted model, not a curated record. Lineage: Eukaryota; Metazoa; Chordata; Mammalia; Eulipotyphla; Erinaceidae.
CCUUCCUAGAAUUCUCUCAGGAGGGAGAAAGUCCUCCUAUUUGGCUAUUGGAAAACACUCAGUGCUCUCUGAUUCAAGCUCUGCAGGUGACAGGCUGUCGGCGAGCUUCUUCUGUCAGAUGAGACCAGUCAGAUGAGCCACAAGUCUGCAGUCAAAGUCAAGGUGUCUUCCAAUCAGUGUGUGUGUGUGUGUGUGUGUGUGUGUGUGUGUGUUGGGGGGGCACAGGGAGGAUGGGGUGCAGACUGUGCACCUCCCAGGCGGUGUCUGAGCCCUUGGUGCUAUUUCCUGGAACAAAUACAGAGAAACACAUACAAAAGGCAGUUGUGGAUUUCAAAAGAGGUCGUAGAGCUUGAAGCAGGGCUGCCUGCCAGUGCUCGGAGUUGAGAAGGAAGCGGCCGCAGCGGCAGUUCUGCUCCCCAUCUUUAUUCCUUUCAGCAAAGCUUGAAGCUAUGGGCUCUGAUUUAAUGUGGAAGUGAAAGCAAAGGGACACGGCGGGGUCGGACGUGCAAAGGAAGGCAAGUCCCUGCACCGCAGCACGCUGCGGGCAAGUGCCAGCUGCGGGAGGAUUCUUUCGGCUUCGGGGACCAGCGAUUUCCUCUUGAGCUCCAAGAGCCUUAGAAGCCAGCCGUCAGCUUGCCUCCCUGCCCGUCGACCGAGCGAGCGCAGAGUCCGAGAACCAGGAGAUCGACGCGGGCACCCUUCCUCCUCCCUCUCCCGGGCGGGCGCAGUGCUGCGGGCGGGCGCGCGGGGGCAGCAGCGCGGUCACCCACCCACCCGGCCGGGCCGGAGCCGCAGCCGCAGCCGCAGCCGCAGCCGCAGCCGCGCGCGGGUCUGGGGGCUUCCGCGCCGUUUCCCUGCAGGCUGGAGCCCAUUGUUAGAGACGAGGCGGAGGGAGGGGUGCAGCCCGGCUUACCUCCUGUCCCUCCUCCGACUCGGCCUUGCCACCCACAGAGGGGCGACGUGGGGGUGGGGUUGGGGGAAUAAACUUUGAGACUUUUCUGUUUUAUUUAAUCAGAGCACUGUUUUGCAUCGGCUUAUGGUGGAGCUGGGGCGUGAACCUGGGACCUCAGAGCCUCAGCCAGUAGAAUCUAUUUACGUAACCAUUACCAUUAUGCUAUCUUUCCCCUCCCAUUGGGAAGCAGACUUUGCCCCUGGGUUCCACUCCUGCAUGCUCCCACAGUCGUGUCAAGGACUCCUCCACCAAGCAGCCUUCUCACUUUGCUCCUCCCCACCGCAGAGCUAGCUGUUCUGGCGACCGCACACAGAGGUCUGUCUGUCCGGGACAGCUGGCUUGUUGCAGGAGAAGGUCACAGGGUCGGCUAAUCAGAUAGCGGCCAUUCCCGCUUCCACCUCCAUCCUGAUCAGGGUGGGCAGUGGUGGCAGGGAGAGUAGAGCAGGGCCCUGGGAGGGGGUUGGGGGUUGUCACGGAGGUCCUGGCUCUCUGCAGGACUGUGAGGCUCCUUAAACCCUUUGGGGCAGGAGCUGGAAGUAUUAGUAAGCUCACAAGAAGCUGGGCCACCCAGGGAUCUGGAAAUAGUUCCCCUGGUGGAGCACACACUUGGCUGGGCCGGAGGCUCUGGCUGGAGGCCCUGCACCCCAGGAGAGCACUGUGAAGGGUGGGGAAGGACGUGGAUGUAUUCGUGAGAACCAGGGCAUCACUCCAGCACAUGCAAUGCCAGGGACUGAACUGAGGACCUCGUGCUUGAGAAGCCAAUGCCCUAUCCACUACAGGGGUUGAAGUAUUCUGUGGUUGUUCUUCUUCUCCUCCCUGUUUCUUUCUUUUUCCUGCCCAGAGGGCUCCCAGCUCUGCUGUGUGUGGGAGCCACAUAGGGAGCCAAGUGGAGACACUUUGAAACAUCAUCAGUGGGUCACCAACCCUGGGGAAUACUGAGCCUUUGUUUUUGUUACUUGUUUACCCAAACCACGCUGCUGUUUGUUGGCACUGGGCAUUAGCCUUGUUCUGAUAUGUGCAAAUAAAUCUUGCUUUUCAUGUAUUUCAUUCAGUCA